This 207-nucleotide ribosomal RNA is filed under the name uncultured delta proteobacterium. Its description in RNAcentral is "partial 16S ribosomal RNA". It matches the Rfam family "Bacterial small subunit ribosomal RNA", at positions 568 to 774 of the family's 1533-position model. Lineage: Bacteria; Deltaproteobacteria. The record is from RNAcentral.
CGUGUAGGCGGUUUUAUAAGUCUGAUGUGAAAGCCCCGGGCUCAACCUGGGAAGUGCAUUGGAUACUGUAAGACUUGAAUACGGGAGAGGGCAGUGGAAUUCCUGGUGUAGGAGUGAAAUCCGUAGAUAUCAGGAGGAACACCGGUGGCGAAGGCGGCUGCCUGGACCGAUAUUGACGCUGAGACGCGAAAGCGUGGGUAGCAAACA